AGAGUUUGAUCCUGGCUUAGGAUGAACGCUGGCGGCACGCCUAACACAUGCAAGUCGAACGGAGUUAUCGAAGCUUGCUUGAUAAACUAGUGGCGGACGGGUGAGUAACACGUGAGCAACCGUGCCUUUCAGAGAGGGAUAGCUUCUGGAAACGGAUGGUAAGUACCUCAUAACAUAUUGGUACGGCAUCGUAUUAAUAUCAAAGAUUUAUCGCUGAAAGAUGGGCUCGCGUCUGAUUAGCUAGUUGGUGAGGUAACGGCCCACCAAGGCAACGAUCAGUAGCCGGACUGAGAGGUUGAACGGCCACAUUGGGACUGAGACACGGCCCAGACUCCUACGGGAGGCAGCAGUGGGGAAUAUUGCACAAUGGGCGCAAGCCUGAAUGCAGCGAUGCCGCGUGAGGGAAGAAGGUUUUCGGAUUGUAAACCUCUGUCAUCGGGGACGAAAAUGACGGUACCCGAGAAGGAAGCUCCGGCUAACUACGUGCCAGCAGCAGC
This 497-nucleotide ribosomal RNA is filed under the name uncultured bacterium. Its description in RNAcentral is "bacterial SSU rRNA". It matches the Rfam family "Bacterial small subunit ribosomal RNA", at positions 8 to 518 of the family's 1533-position model. The record is from RNAcentral.